GACGAACGCUGGCGGCGUGCUUAACACAUGCAAGUCGAGCGGUAAGGCCCUUUCGGGGGUACACGAGCGGCGAACGGGUGAGUAACACGUGGGUGACCUGCCCUCAGCUCUGGGAUAAGCCUGGGAAACCGGGUCUAAUACCGGAUAUGACUCCAUGACGCAUGUUGUGGGGUGGAAAGCCUUGUGCGGCUGAGGAUGGGCCCGCGGCCUAUCAGCUUGUUGGUGGGGUGAUGGCCUACCAAGGCGACGACGGGUAGCCGGCCUGAGAGGGCGACCGGCCACACUGGGACUGAGACACAGCCCAGACUCCUACGGGAGGCAGCAGUGGGGAAUCUUGCGCAAUGGGCGAAAGCCUGACGCAGCGACGCCGCGUGAGGGAUGACGGCCUGGUGUAACGUCUU
This 401-nucleotide ribosomal RNA is filed under the name uncultured bacterium. RNAcentral's name for it is "bacterial SSU rRNA". It matches the Rfam family "Bacterial small subunit ribosomal RNA", at positions 28 to 435 of the family's 1533-position model. The record is from RNAcentral.